RNAcentral lists this ribosomal RNA (464 nucleotides) under uncultured Smithella sp. RNAcentral's name for it is "bacterial SSU rRNA". It matches the Rfam family "Bacterial small subunit ribosomal RNA", at positions 920 to 1382 of the family's 1533-position model. The record is from RNAcentral. Lineage: Bacteria; Pseudomonadati; Thermodesulfobacteriota; Syntrophia; Syntrophales; Smithellaceae.
CCCGCACAAGCGGUGGAGCAUGUGGUUUAAUUCGACGCAACGCGAAGAACCUUACCAGGGCUUGACAUCCCCUGACCGCGUAUGAAAGUACGUUUUCACCCUCGGGUGACAGGGAGACCAGGUGCUGCAUGGCUGUCGUCAGCUCGUGUCGUGAGAUGUUGGGUUAAGUCCCGCAACGAGCGCAACCCUUGUCUUUAAUUGCCAGCAUUCAGUUGGGCACUUUAAAGAGACUGCCGGUGUUAAGCCGGAGGAAGGUGGGGAUGACGUCAAGUCCUCAUGGCCUUUAUGCCCAGGGCUACACACGUGCUACAAUGGGUGGUACAAAGAGAUGCCAACUCGCGAGAGCGCGCCAAUCUCAGAAAGCCAUCCUCAGUUCGGAUUGGAGUCUGCAACUCGACUCCAUGAAGUUGGAAUCGCUAGUAAUCGCGGAUCAGCACGCCGCGGUGAAUACGUUCCCGGGCCUU